AGAGUUUGAUUCUGGCUCAGAACGAACGCUGGCAGCGUGGAUUAGGCAUGCAAGUCGAACGGGAAGCCCGGCAUUCAAUCUUUCGGGAGAGAAAGCUGGGUGGAGAGUGGCGAAAGGGUGAGUAACGCGUGGGCAACCUGCCUCAUAGUCUGGAAUAACCCGCCGAAAGGAGGGCUAAUGCCGGAUGUGGUCUUUCACGGCAUCGUGAGACGACUAAAGAUGGGGACCCUUCGGGGCCUGUCGCUAAGGGAGGGGCCCGCGUCCCAUCAGCUUGUUGGUGAGGUAACGGCUCACCAAGGCUUACGGGUAGCUGGUCUGAGAGGAUGGUCAGCCACACUGGGACUGAGACACUGCCCAGACUCCUACGGGAGGCUGCAGUCGAGAAUCAUUUGCAAUGCGCGAAAGCGUGACAAUGCGACGCUGCGUGGAGGAUGACGGCCUUCGGGUUGUAAACUCCUGUCAUGUGGGAACAAUGACACGGUCGCUAAUACCGGCCGUGUGUGAGGGUACCACAAGAGGAAGCCACGGCUAACUCUGUGCCAGCAGCCGCGGUAAUACAGAGGUGGCAAGCGUUGUUCGGAUUUACUGGGCGUAAAGAGUGCGUAGGCGGUCCUGGCAGUCGGGUGUGAAAUCCCGCCGCUCAACGGCGGAACUGCAUCCGAAACUUCAGGACUUGAGUGCAGGAGGGGAGAGCGGAAUUCUGGGUGUAGCGGUGAAAUGCGUUGAUAUCCAGAAGAACACCGGCGGCGAAGGCGGCUCUCUGGAAUGCUACUGACGCUGAGGCACGAAAGCUGGGGGAGCAAACAGGAUUAGAUACCCUGGUAGUCCCAGCCGUAAACGGUGUGCACUUGGUGUGGGAGGUCUUGACCCCUUCCGUGCCGGAGCUAACGUGUUAAGUGCACCGCCUGGGGAGUACGGCCGCAAGGCUAAAACUCAAAGAAAUUGACGGGGGCCCGCACAAGCGGAGGAGCAUGUGGCUUAAUUCGAUGCAACGCGAAGAACCUUACCAGGGCUUGACAUGCAGCUGCACGCCCCCUGAAAGGGGGGAAGCCUUCGAGGGUGCUGCACAGGUGCUGCAUGGCUGUCGUCAGUUCGUGCCGUGAGGUGUUGGGUUAAGUCCCGCAACGAACGCGACCCCUGUGUCUAGUUGCCACCGUCGGUGAUGAGCCGGCGAGCACUCUAGACAGACUGCCCGUACAAGCGGGAGGAAGGUGGGGACGACGUCAAGUCAGUAUGGCCCUUACGCUCUGGGCUGCACACGUGCUACAAUGGUCGGUACAAUAGGACGCAAUACCGCGAGGUGGAGCAAAUCCCCAAAACUGGCCUCAGUUCGGAUUGGAGUCUGCAAUUCGACUCCAUGAAGCUGGAUUCGCUAGUAACGGCGCAUCAGCUACGGCGCCGUGAAUACGUUCCCGGGCCUUGUACACACCGCCCGUCACAUCAUGAAAGCCGUCUGCACCCGAAGUCAUUGAUCCAACCCCUCACGGGGAGGUAAGUGCCGAAGGUGUGGGUGGUGAUUGGGAUGAAGUCGUAACAAGGUA
Molecule: ribosomal RNA, 1541 nt
Filed under: metagenome
Description: bacterial SSU rRNA
Rfam family: Bacterial small subunit ribosomal RNA
Source: RNAcentral